This 501-nucleotide ribosomal RNA is filed under the name uncultured bacterium. RNAcentral describes it as "bacterial SSU rRNA". It matches the Rfam family "Bacterial small subunit ribosomal RNA", at positions 8 to 507 of the family's 1533-position model. The record is from RNAcentral.
AGAGUUUGAUCUGGCUCAGAUUGAACGCUGGCGGAAUGCUUUACACAUGCAAGUCGAACGGCAGCACGGGGCAACCUGGUGGCGAGUGGCGAACGGGUGAGUAAUACAUCGGAACGUGCCCAAUCGUGGGGGAUAACGUAGCGAAAGUUACGCUAAUACCGCAUACGAUCUACGGAUGAAAGCGGGGGAUCGCAAGACCUCGCGCGAGUGGAGCGGCCGAUGUCAGAUUAGGUAGUUGGUGGGGUAAAGGCUCACCAAGCCAACGAUCUGUAGCUGGUCUGAGAGGACGACCAGCCACACUGGAACUGAGACACGGUCCAGACUCCUACGGGAGGCAGCAGUGGGGAAUUUUGGACAAUGGGCGCAAGCCUGAUCCAGCCAUUCCGCGUGCAGGAUGAAGGCCUUCGGGUUGUAAACUGCUUUUGUACGGAACGAAACGGCGAGCUCUAAUACAGUUUGCUAAUGACGGUACCGUAAGAAUAAGCACCGGCUAACUACGUG